UACGGAGGGGGCUAGCGUUGCUCGGAAUCACUGGGCGUAAAGCGCACGUAGGCGGCUUUCUAAGUCGAACGUGAAAUCCCCGGGCUCAACCCGGGAACUGCGUCCGAUACUGGAAGGCUUGAAUCCGGGAGAGGGAUGCGGAAUUCCAGGUGUAGCGGUGAAAUGCGUAGAUAUCUGGAGGAACACCGGUGGCGAAGGCGGCAUCCUGGACCGGCAUUGACGCUGAGGCGCGAAAGCCAGGGGAGCAAACGGG
This 253-nucleotide ribosomal RNA is filed under the name uncultured bacterium. RNAcentral's name for it is "partial 16S ribosomal RNA". It matches the Rfam family "Bacterial small subunit ribosomal RNA", at positions 524 to 776 of the family's 1533-position model. The record is from RNAcentral.